RNAcentral lists this ribosomal RNA (253 nucleotides) under uncultured bacterium. RNAcentral's name for it is "partial 16S ribosomal RNA". It matches the Rfam family "Bacterial small subunit ribosomal RNA", at positions 524 to 776 of the family's 1533-position model. The record is from RNAcentral.
UACAGAGGUGGCAAGCGUUGUUCGGAAUUACUGGGCGUAAAGGGCGCGUAGGUGGCCUUCUUAGUCAGACGUGAAAUCCCCGGGCUUAACUCGGGAACUGCGUCUGAUACUGGAUGGCUUGAAUCCGGGAGAGGGAUGCAGAAUUCCAGGUGUAGCGGUGAAAUGCGUAGAUAUCUGGAGGAAUACCGGUGGCGAAGGCGGCAUCCUGGACCGGCAUUGACGCUGAGGAGCGAAAGCCAGGGGAGCGAACGGG